CAGGUCUUGACAUCCAAAGAACCUUUACGAAAGUAAGGGGUGCCUUCGGGAGCUUUGAGACAGGUGGUGCAUGGUUGUCGUCAGCUCGUGUCGUGAGAUGUUGGGUUAAGUCCCGCAACGAGCGCAACCCUUGCUAUUAGUUGCUAACAUUUCGGAUGAGCACUCUAAUGGGACUGCCCGUGACAAGCGGGAGGAAGGUGGGGAUGACGUCAAAUCAUCAUGCCCUUUAUGAUCUGGGCUACACACGUGCUACAAUGGAUGGUACAGAGAGCAGCGAGGCCGCGAGGUGGAGCGAAUCUCAAAAAGCCAUUCUCAGUUCGGAUUGGAGUCUGCAACUCGACUCCAUGAAGUCGGAAUCGCUAGUAAUCGCGAAUCAGAACGUCGCGGUGAAUGCGUUCCCGGGGUCUUGUACACACCG
Molecule: ribosomal RNA, 418 nt
Filed under: uncultured bacterium
Lineage: Bacteria
Description: bacterial SSU rRNA
Rfam family: Bacterial small subunit ribosomal RNA
Source: RNAcentral